This is a non-coding RNA of Danio rerio (zebrafish), 669 nucleotides long. NCBI's taxonomy places the organism in Eukaryota, Metazoa, Chordata, Actinopteri, Cypriniformes, Danionidae. The record is from the annotation of a RefSeq genome assembly.
AAUAUCAGAGACAAUUAAAUCAGAAUACUCUCACACACUCACAGCAGAGAUUCAGAUUCACACACUAGAGCUUAUCUGCGAGAUCCACAGUGUGUGUGUGUGUGUGUGUGUGUGUUUGCAUAUGGAGUGCUGUGAGUGUUUAUAGUGCUGCGAGUUGAACACUUCAUCACUGACACACACAUCAAUCUUCAUCAUCAUGACCUUCAUCAUCAUCUUCAUCUGGACUCUCACAGCGUUUGCUCGAGAGUGUGGAGGACAGAUCAGCGUCACUCAGAGUCCCUCAAUCACAGCAGAACCAGACAAACCCGUCACCAUCACCUGCAGAACCAGCACAAAUGUGUACAGUGACAGUACAUAUGGGCCACGUUUAGCCUGGUACUUACAGAAACCUGGAGAAGCUCCUAAACUCCUGAUUCAUUUAACAAACCGUCUCCAGUCAGGAACUGCAUCUAGAUUCAGUGGCAGUGGAUCUAACAGAGAUUUCACUCUGAGCAUCAGUGGAGUCCAGACUGAAGAUGCUGGACAUUAUUACUGUCAGAGUUUACACAGUGGUCCAGUGUACACACAGUGAUAAAGAGUGUUACAAAAACCUCCGUCCGUCAGUCAGAGUCACAGAAACUGAACUGAUCCUGGAGCAGCUCAAAGACUUAACACACACAAUGGCUUUGA